AACUUCAGAAAAAAGAUAUUUUAUGAAUAACUUUGAGAAUAAGGGAUGCUGAAAAUGGCCCAGUUGACGCUUGCAUCAAAUCCUCGUAGGGUUUAGCCAGUAGGAUCGACCCUCACACUUCCAUCUCAUGCUUCAAAGGUUUAACCAAUAGCAACAGGGAGCAGCAAAAAGGGAAGGCAGAAGAAGAAGCACUAUAAACCAUUGCCAAAGAGGAGCAACUGCUUUCGUUCAGUGCUUGAACAUUCAUUUUUCUCGCAAAUGUUUUCCAGAUGGAGCAAAGCUGCUUCUCAAAUGUCGAAGCUUGGGUCUCUAAGCAACAUGGGGGAACUCAGAAAAGAUCUUCUUUUUAUUCCACGCCUAACCUAUGCCAAGGCUUCUGCAGCAGCUGCUGUCCCGCCUUCUCCUAAUGAUUCUAUGCACAAGGGUUUUCCUAGUAAAUCACCGGUAAAUUUGGAUAAAAUGUUUUGGUCUAAGCCCUGUUCUUUGGCUUUGGCCUCCGAUUCCCCACUGAGAAUUGAAGAGCCAAAAUAUGAGGGCAUUCGGCAUUUUAUCCUUAAGCUCUUGAUGUUUUAUAGCAAACAAAGCAAAUCGAUUAGGGGGGCAAAUGUGGUGUACCGGCGCAUCAUUUCACAAGUAGAUAAGCCUACCAUUUAUGAAGUAUUCAAUUUGGAGAAGACAUUUAAAAUGACAUUCUCAUUGCUUGUACUCCAUAUGUGGCUUUGCUUACGCCGUCUGAAACAGGAGGGAAAGGAGGGCGUUGAAUUUGGGCAGUACCUGUAUGAUAUUUAUAAUCAUGAUGUGGAGCUAAGAGUAUCUAAAGCAGGGGUUAACUUAUUGUUGACUAAAUGGAUGAAAGAAUUGGAGAAGAUAUUCUAUGGAAAUAUUGUUGCUUAUGAUGCUGCCAUGCUUCCAGAGGCUAAAUCUGAUGAGCUAGAGAAGGUGGUAUGGAGAAAUGUCUUUUCUGAUGAUGGGACAUCAGAGCCAGAUGCUACUGCAUUACGGGCUGUCCAGGCAUGUUCUCAUCUUUGCUUUUUAUCGUGAUUUGCAUUGCUGCAGACUGCCAAAGAAAUUGCAAUGGCAAGAUAUGUACGCCGGGAAGUCCAUUGUCUUUCCUUAACAGAUAAAGAAGCCAUGUUUUAUGGGAAUUUCAUGUUCACCUCCUUGGAUAACACAUCAUCUCAUGCAGCAAGGAGUUAAAUGGAAGAGGCUAAUGCAGGCAUUGAAAUUCUAUCAUGAGAUUGGGGGGGUUAAAAGGAGAAAAAAAGAUGCUCUUCUUUGUCUGAUACAGGGGAAGCAUAAAGCCAUGUCAAAAGUGAUUAUUUUGUUAUUUUUAAUAUUAUUCUUAAAUUUUAAAAUUUAAGUGCUAAGUGAUUGAGCAAGGAGAUAAUGAUGUAUAAUGCACUCUUCCGACAAAAUUUAGCAAGGUAUUUGAAUGCAAUCAUGCAAAAUCAUUUCUGUAAAGUACAUAUAAUGACAGUGUUCAAAUGCAUAGUUGUUUCGCUUUGUUGCUGCA
Hevea brasiliensis (rubber tree) is the source of this 1513-nucleotide RNA transcript. RefSeq lists it as uncharacterized. The transcript has 7 exons. The record is from RefSeq and is a predicted model, not a curated record. Lineage: Eukaryota; Viridiplantae; Streptophyta; Magnoliopsida; Malpighiales; Euphorbiaceae.